CAGCAGCCGCGGGAAUACGUAGGGGGCAAGCGUUGUCCGGAAUUAUUGGGCGUAAAGCGCGCGCAGGCGGUUUUUUAAGUCUGGUGUCUAAGUGCGGGGCUCAACCCCGUGACGCACUGGAAACUGGGAGACUUGAGUGCAGAAGAGGAGAGCGGAAUUCCACGUGUAGCGGUGAAAUGCGUAGAGAUGUGGAGGAACACCAGUGGCGAAGGCGGCUCUCUGGACUGUAACUGACGCUGAGGCGCGAAAGCGUGGGGAGCAAACAGGAUUAGAUACCCCGGUAGUCCCUGUCUCUUAUACA
RNAcentral lists this ribosomal RNA (301 nucleotides) under uncultured bacterium. Its description in RNAcentral is "partial 16S ribosomal RNA". It matches the Rfam family "Bacterial small subunit ribosomal RNA", at positions 509 to 808 of the family's 1533-position model. The record is from RNAcentral.